CAGUAGCCACGGUAAUACGAAGGGUGCAAGCGUUACUCGGAAUUACUGGGCGUAAAGCGUGCGUAGGUGGUUGUUUAAGUCUGCUGUGAAAGCCCUGGGCUCAACCUGGGAAUUGCAGUGGAUACUGGGCAACUAGAGUAAGGUAGAGGAUAGUGGAAUUUCCGGUGUAGCAGUGAAAUGCGUAGAGAUCGGAAGGAACAUCUGUGGCGAAGGCGACUAUCUGGGCCAUUACUGACACUGAGGCACGAAAGCGUGGGGAGCAAACAGUAUUAGAUACCCGUGUAGUCCCUGUCUCUUAUAC
Molecule: ribosomal RNA, 301 nt
Filed under: uncultured bacterium
Lineage: Bacteria
Description: partial 16S ribosomal RNA
Rfam family: Bacterial small subunit ribosomal RNA
Source: RNAcentral